Vigna unguiculata (cowpea) is the source of this 464-nucleotide long non-coding RNA. RefSeq lists it as uncharacterized. The record is from RefSeq and is a predicted model, not a curated record. NCBI's taxonomy places the organism in Eukaryota, Viridiplantae, Streptophyta, Magnoliopsida, Fabales, Fabaceae.
CCUAAUUCUACACUUCUUGCACUUUCAGAAAAGAACCAGCCGUCACUCCCCAUACCCCUCACAGAACACUCUGCUAGGGUUUACCCCUGACCCUGAACCAGUGAGCCCAGUUGCGUUCCUAGCCUCAUCACUUCAAUCUGCCGUUGGAGCUUCGCGUUCCGCUGUUGGAGACGCACCCGCUUUUAGCCUUUUCCAGAUGGGCGAGGUUCUCAUGGUAAACAAGCGAAUGGUGAUUCCGCAGCUUAGCCAUCUGGGCUGGAGUUUUCUUCGUAUUCUAUUUAGGGCUAUGGCCCAUGUAUCUUUUUCUGUAUUGCUACGCUACACUCUAUGUUGUAUUCGCUUUCAGCUUACCUUUGGCAUCGUGGUGUGCCCGUGUUUUGUCAGGGUUGUGUUAAAGACCCCAGGACCACGCUACUGUACUUAUAUUGUGUGACGUUUUCCUUUAAUUUCACUUAAUAAUUAAA